Gopherus flavomarginatus (Mexican gopher tortoise) is the source of this 777-nucleotide long non-coding RNA. RefSeq lists it as uncharacterized. The transcript has 5 exons. The record is from RefSeq and is a predicted model, not a curated record. NCBI's taxonomy places the organism in Eukaryota, Metazoa, Chordata, Testudines, Testudinidae.
CAGAGGUGGGCGCAUCUCAGCACCAGACCAGGGGUCCCCGGGUAACCGGCCGCCCCGCCCCAGAGGUGGGUGCAUCUCAGCGCCAGGCGAGGGGUCCCUGGGUAACCGGCCGCCCCGCCCCAGAGGUGGGCGCAUCUCAGCACUGGGCGAGGGGUCCCUGGAUAACCGGCCGCCCCGCCCCAGAGGUGGCUGCAUCUCAGCGCCGGGCGAGGGGUCCCCGGGUAACCGGCCGCCCCGCCCCAGAGGUGGCUGCAUCUCAGCGCCAGGCGAGGGGUCCCUGGGUAACCGGCCGCCCAGCCCCAGAGGUGGCUGCAUCUCAGCGCCGGGUGAGGGGUCCCUGGGUAACCAGCCACCCCGCCCCAGACGUGGCUGCAUCUCAGCGUCGGGCGAGGGGUCCCUGGGUAACCAGCCACCCCGCCCCAGAGGUGGGCGCAUCUCAGCGUCGGGCGAGGGGUCCCUGGGUAACCGGCCGCCCCGCCCCAGAGGUGGCUGCAUCUCAGCGCCGGGCGAGGGGUCCCUGGGUAACCGGCUGCCCAGCCCCAGAGGUGGCUGCAUCUCAGCGCCGGGCGAGGGGUCCCUGGGUAACCGGCUGCCCAGCCCCAGAGGUGGCUGCAUCUCAGCGCCAGGUGAGGGGUCCUCGGGUAACCAGCCACCCCGCCCCAGAGGUGGCUGCAUCUCAGCGCCAGGCGAGGGGUCCCUGGGUAACCAGCCGCCCUGCCCCAGAGGUGGCUGCAUCUCAGCGCCGGGCGAGGGGUUCCUGGGUAACCGGCCGCCCCA